RNAcentral lists this ribosomal RNA (301 nucleotides) under uncultured bacterium. RNAcentral describes it as "partial 16S ribosomal RNA". It matches the Rfam family "Bacterial small subunit ribosomal RNA", at positions 509 to 809 of the family's 1533-position model. The record is from RNAcentral.
CAGCCGCCGCGGUAAUACGUAGGUGGCAAGCGUUGUCCGGAAUUAUUGGGCGUAAAGGGCUCGCAGGCGGUUUCUUAAGUCUGAUGUGAAAGCCCCCGGCUCAACCGGGGAGGGUCAUUGGAAACUGGGAAACUUGAGUGCAGAAGAGGAGAGUGGAAUUCCACGUGUAGCGGUGAAAUGCGUAGAGAUGUGGAGGAACACCAGUGGCGAAGGCGACUCUCUGGUCUGUAACUGACGCUGAGGAGCGAAAGCGUGGGGAGCGGACAGGAUUAGAUACCCGCGUAGUCCCUGUCUCUUAUAA